GACGAACGCUGGCGGCGUGCUUAACACAUGCAAGUCGAACGGAAAGGCCCUGCUUUUGUGGGGUGCUCGAGUGGCGAACGGGUGAGUAACACGUGAGUAACCUGCCCUUGACUUUGGGAUAACUUCAGGAAACUGGGGCUAAUACCGGAUAGGAGCUCCUGCUGCAUGGUGGGGGUUGGAAAGUUUCGGCGGUUGGGGAUGGACUCGCGGCUUAUCAGCUUGUUGGUGGGGUAGUGGCUUACCAAGGCUUUGACGGGUAGCCGGGCUGAGAGGGUGACCGGCCACAUUGGGACUGAGAUACGGCCCAGACUCCUACGGGAGGCAGCAGUGGGGAAUAUUGCACAAUGGGCGGAAGCCUGAUGCAGCAACGCCGCGUGCGGGAUGACGGCCUUCGGGUUGUAAACCGCUUUCGCCUGUGACGAAGAGUGAGUGACGGUAAUGGGUAAAGAAGCACCGGCUAACUACGUG
Molecule: ribosomal RNA, 468 nt
Filed under: uncultured bacterium
Lineage: Bacteria
Description: partial 16S ribosomal RNA
Rfam family: Bacterial small subunit ribosomal RNA
Source: RNAcentral